This 640-nucleotide ribosomal RNA is filed under the name uncultured Flavobacteriales bacterium. RNAcentral describes it as "bacterial SSU rRNA". It matches the Rfam family "Bacterial small subunit ribosomal RNA", at positions 82 to 721 of the family's 1533-position model. The record is from RNAcentral. Lineage: Bacteria; Pseudomonadati; Bacteroidota; Flavobacteriia; Flavobacteriales.
CGGAAAUGAGAGAGCGGCGUACGGGUGCGGAACACGCGUGCAAUCUGCCUUUAUCUGGGGGAUAGCCUUUCGAAAGGAAGAUUAAUACUCCAUAAUAUAUUGAACGGCAUCGUUUAAUAUUGAAAGCUCCGGCGGAUAGAGAUGGGCACGCGCAAGAUUAGCUAGUUGGUGAGGUAACGGCUCACCAAGGCAAUGAUCUUUAGGGGGCCUGAGAGGGUGAUCCCCCACACUGGUACUGAGACACGGACCAGACUCCUACGGGAGGCAGCAGUGAGGAAUAUUGGUCAAUGGGUGCAAGCCUGAACCAGCCAUCCCGCGUGAAGGACGACUGCCCUAUGGGUUGUAAACUUCUUUUGUAUAGGGAUAAACCUACCCUCGUGAGGGUAGCUGAAGGUACUAUACGAAUAAGCACCGGCUAACUCCGUGCCAGCAGCCGCGGUAAUACGGAGGGUGCAAGCGUUAUCCGGAUUUAUUGGGUUUAAAGGGUCCGUAGGCGGACUUAUAAGUCAGUGGUGAAAGCCUGUCGCUUAACGAUAGAACUGCCAUUGAUACUGUAAGUCUUGAGUAUAUUUGAGGUAGCUGGAAUAAGUAGUGUAGCGGUGAAAUGCAUAGAUAUUACUUAGAACACCAAUUGCGAAGG